This 275-nucleotide unclassified non-coding RNA is filed under the name uncultured fungus. Its description in RNAcentral is "sequence contains ITS1". Lineage: Eukaryota; Fungi. The record is from RNAcentral.
GUAUAACUUUUAUAGGUUACAAAAAAUGCACCUGAUUCAACAUUCUAAAACGAAUUCAAAGGUUUGUGAAAAAUGACAUAGACCUGUAAAAGGCAAAGCUGAUGAACACCAGCAGUCCCAACUCGAAAGUAAAUUCAAACUUCCAGGUCUACAAUAAUGUGCACAAGUUGGAGAAAUAAAGAUGACAAGCGUGCACAUACCCCCCCAAAGAGGGCCAGCAACAGCCUGCUCAAGUUUAUUCAAUAAUGAUCCUUCCGCAGGUUCACCUACGGAAA